UUUAGUAUUGGUGAUCGUGUUGCUACCAAAUAUAGAAAUUCUAUCCAUCAUGAAAAUGUUCAAACUCUUGUCACUACCAGAAUUUGGUUGCAUGGAUUUACUCAACCUAAUGAGGGUAAUAUUUUUCUAUCUAAUCUAUUAAUAUAUCACUCUUUUUCUGAAAGUAUUUGUUAAUGAUUAUCUAACUAACAUCUUGUAUGGUGAAUUGUAGAUGAAGAUGAACUUCUUAAGGAAACAAUAUCACAUGCUGAUUCAAAUGUGAUCGAUGGUACAAGUGGAAGCGGAGUCGUGAAACUUUAAUUAAUGGGUCAUGUAAUAUUUAGCAAUUUAGAUUUGUUAAGUAUUUGGGCUGCCUUGUGUCGCUGGAAAUCUUUUAAACCAGCUAGUUUUUUGUGGGAGGAAUGGUGGAAUGAUCAACAUUUAUCCGCUAAAUCUUACGUUGGCUAUUAUGUAUUUUUGUAAGUAUUCAC
Molecule: long non-coding RNA, 470 nt
Filed under: Solanum tuberosum (potato)
Lineage: Eukaryota; Viridiplantae; Streptophyta; Magnoliopsida; Solanales; Solanaceae
Description: long non-coding RNA (STUB_LNC007380)
Source: RNAcentral